AACUGAAUAGCUCAAUGGCAAGAGCAGUCGCUCGGCAAGCGAAAGACUCGGGUUCGAUUCCUGAUUCAGCGA
Non-coding RNA from Camponotus floridanus (Florida carpenter ant), 72 nucleotides. Lineage: Eukaryota; Metazoa; Arthropoda; Insecta; Hymenoptera; Formicidae. The record is from Rfam.